This 468-nucleotide ribosomal RNA is filed under the name uncultured bacterium. Its description in RNAcentral is "partial 16S ribosomal RNA". It matches the Rfam family "Bacterial small subunit ribosomal RNA", at positions 28 to 507 of the family's 1533-position model. The record is from RNAcentral.
GACGAACGCUGGCGGCGUGCUUAACACAUGCAAGUCGAACGGAAAGGCCCUGCCUUUGUGGGGUGCUCGAGUGGCGAACGGGUGAGUAACACGUGAGUAACCUGCCCUUGACUUUGGGAUAACUUCAGGAAACUGGGGCUAAUACCGGAUAGGAGCUCCUGCUGCAUGGUGGGGGUUGGAAAGUUUCGGCGGGUGGGGAUGGACUCGCGGCUUAUCAGCUUGUUGGUGGGGUAGUGGCUAACCAAGGCUUUGACGGGUAGCCGGCCUGGGAGGGUGACCGGCCACAUUGGGACUGAGAUACGGCCCAGACUCCUACGGGAGGCAGCAGUGGGGAAUAUUGCACAAUGGGCGGAAGCCUGAUGCAGCAACGCCGCGUGCGGGAUGACGGCCUUCGGGUUGUAAACCGCUUUCGCCUGUGACGAAGCGUGAGUGACGGUAAUGGGUAAAGAAGCACCGGCUAACUACGUG